RNAcentral lists this ribosomal RNA (497 nucleotides) under uncultured bacterium. Its description in RNAcentral is "partial 16S ribosomal RNA". It matches the Rfam family "Bacterial small subunit ribosomal RNA", at positions 28 to 507 of the family's 1533-position model. The record is from RNAcentral.
GAUGAACGCUGGCGGCGUGCCUAAUACAUGCAAGUCGAGCGAACAGACGAGGAGCUUGCUCCUCUGACGUUAGCGGCGGACGGGUGAGUAACACGUGGAUAACCUACCUAUAAGACUGGGAUAACUUCGGGAAACCGGAGCUAAUACCGGAUAAUAUAUUGAACCGCAUGGUUCAAUAGUGAAAGACGGUUUUGCUGUCACUUAUAGAUGGAUCCGCGCCGCAUUAGCUAGUUGGUAAGGUAACGGCUUACCAAGGCUACGAUGCGUAGCCGACCUGAGAGGGGGAUCGGCCACACUGGAACUGAGACACGGUCCAGACUCCUACGGGAGGCAGCAGUAGGGAAUCUUCCGCAAUGGGCGAAAGCCUGACGGAGCAACGCCGCGUGAGUGAUGAAGGUCUUCGGAUCGUAAAACUCUGUUAUUAGGGAAGAACAAAUGUGUAAGUAACUAUGCACGUCUUGACGGUACCUAAUCAGAAAGCCACGGCUAACUACGUG